RNAcentral lists this ribosomal RNA (497 nucleotides) under uncultured bacterium. RNAcentral describes it as "partial 16S ribosomal RNA". It matches the Rfam family "Bacterial small subunit ribosomal RNA", at positions 28 to 507 of the family's 1533-position model. The record is from RNAcentral.
GACGAACGCUGGCGGCGUGCCUAAUACAUGCAAGUUGAGCGAUGAAGAUUGGUGCUUGCACCAAUUUGAAGAGCAGCGAACGGGUGAGUAACGCGUGGGGAAUCUGCCUUUGAGCGGGGGACAACAUUUGGAAACGAAUGCUAAUACCGCAUAACAACUUUAAACAUAAGUUUUAAGUUUGAAAGAUGCAAUUGCAUCACUCAAAGAUGAUCCCGCGUUGUAUUAGCUAGUUGGUGAGGUAAAGGCUCACCGAGGCGAUGAUACAUAGCCGACCUGAGAGGGUGAUCGGCCACAUUGGGACUGAGACACGGCCCAAACUCCUACGGGAGGCAGCAGUAGGGAAUCUUCGGCAAUGGACGAAAGUCUGACCGAGCAACGCCGCGUGAGUGAAGAAGGGUUUCGGAUCGUAAAACUCUGUUGGUAGAGAAGAACGUUGGUGAGAGUGGAAAGCUCAUCAAGUGACGGUAACUACCCAGAAAGGGACGGCUAACUACGUG